CCCGUUCUUCGAACGGCAUGGACAUCCCAGAUCCAAUUUCAUUUCUAAACAGAUUUGGCACAAAUCAGAGAUCUGUAGUCCAAGUUAUGUCCCGUCAAAGUAUGCCCAAAAACCAUGUUUUCAUACAAAACCACAAGGUGCCAUUUUCAAAACAAGCCACUUUCAACUCUUUUCAAAAUCAAUCAAACAUGCCAAUUUCAACCCUUCUCUUUGAAAUCAUUCAAAAUGUACCAAAAUCAACAACAAGCCAUCCUCAACUCACACAUUGACACUUUACCAAGGUUUCCAAAACCACAUCCAACCAUUUUAACACUUCUCAAUCAAAUGGCUAAAGGACAAACACAAUAUCAUGUCAUACAUCCUUCCUCAUCCCAAUUUACAAUAAUACCAUUUCCAAUUAACCAUCAUUAUACAUAAUCAACAUCAUACUCACCAUCAACAUGGUACCACCCAUCAAUUCAACCUCAAUCAUCCAUCAAGCAUAUAUCACAACAUGCAUUUCUCAUAUU
Molecule: long non-coding RNA, 509 nt
Filed under: Arachis ipaensis
Lineage: Eukaryota; Viridiplantae; Streptophyta; Magnoliopsida; Fabales; Fabaceae
Description: long non-coding RNA (AIPA_LNC000084)
Source: RNAcentral